RNAcentral lists this long non-coding RNA (2096 nucleotides) under Buteo japonicus. Its description in RNAcentral is "lncRNA (ENSBJAG00000005620.1)". Lineage: Eukaryota; Metazoa; Chordata; Aves; Accipitriformes; Accipitridae. The record is from RNAcentral.
AUGCCACGGGAGACCACCGCCAUGCCACGCCACGCCACGCCAUGCCCUGCCCUCCCCACAGCCACAGGGCACCAACUCUGCCCAGGCAAACCCGCUCCCGCCUCCCUCUCAGCUUCUUUCGCGCUAAGGGAGCGAAGCACCGAGGCCCAAACGACUCCCGGACCAGACGGUGCUAAUACAGAAAGUACCAUGUUCUACUGUAGUCACCGUGCCCAGCUCUGGAAACAGGCAUAUGACAUUAGGACAGCACCUAUACAUCCCUGGCAGAAGUUUACAGAAAAAUUUUAUGCACAGCAGACAUGGUAAGUUUGUUACUUUGUCAUUUGUUUAUCUAAGCAGUCACAGAGUGACACACACCCCUCUGCAUGUCAAGAGAAAAAAAUACACUGUACAGAAGAUAAGCCAAAGUUCAGUUGUUUGACACUUUCCAGGUUGUCAAUUUUUCCUUGUCCCCCACAAACUAACUACAAGGGUUGCCAAGUACCAUGAAGAUACAUACUCUAAACCUUACAAGAGCUUCCAGUUUUGCAGGAGAUUGCCAAAGCUGUAGAAAAAAAGAGGCCACAUCUGUUCAUCUGGAGUUUGACAAACAAACAAAAUCAAUAAACAAAUGCGCCAGGACUCACAGGAGAACUGCCUGAUUUCACCGGACAUGAGACCAAGGCCUAGAUAAGCAACAAGCCAGUCAGAAAGGUAGUUUAAAAAACUUUGGAAUUAUCUAACUAAGAUGAAUUCCUUAAAAUCUGUUGGUUAUAGCCAACCAGUUCGCCUACUAGACAUAGAAAGGAUGAGGCCAUUAUGCUUUGAAUGAGACCCUUUGCUGGAUGUUGUCUUCACCCCUGGGUUGCCUUUUGGACUAACGCUUAAAAACACGGAGACAGUUAAAAAAAUAUUACUUUUCUUUCUUUGUUAACUAUGUAAACAGAAACAGGAACUCCAUAGCUUCAGAAGUUGGGCUUUAAGCCAUUAAGAGAAGCAGUGGAGGAACAAGUUUAGUCUUGGUUUAGAGUUUUGAGUCUACUUUGCAUCUAACAAAUAUUUGAAAUUCUUGAUAAUUGUGUAUACAACAUUUAAGAACAAAGGGCCUAAUCCUGCAGCCCUUACUCCUCAGAAGGCAACAGAUGCCAAUACUCAAGAUGGCCUUUUUCUUUUAAAAAGGUCAGUAAACAGGAUACAAAGCACAAUUUGCAUGCAGCACUGUAUGACAAUUACAGAAACAUAAUUUCUAAGUCUGCGAAAACUUCAGCAUGUACUCAAGUUAUACAUACAAAGCAAAGAAGUUACCAAUGUCAGUGUGUCUUCAGACUGCAAAUUAUGUCUAAUGGCUUACUGUAGAUGCACAGCAAACUCAUCUUUUCUUGAUAAAUAAAGAAACUGCUGAUCAGCACAGUGAGGAGAGGUAUCUAAAUCAAGGUGAAUGGCCAAGGAAGUGCAGAGGUAUUCUAUGCAGAAUUUAUCUUCUUUGCUUUAAUAGCAGCUUCAAUCUCUUCCAUGAUUGGCACCGGCCCUGCAUAGUUAUUAGUUUCAAUAGCUUCUAAUUUCUUCUGAUAGUCAGCUGGCAAGCCAUUCUGUUUUGCACCCAUGCAGAUAACCUAUAAUCAAAAGGGAAAGGAAAAAAAAAAAAAAAGCCUUCAAUAAUAGUGUUAGGAACGACAGACCCCUCCAAACAUUCACUUGUACGGGAAGAACCGCUUAAGGUAACAAGAGAAUUAAUCCCAAAUAAAGCUAGUUGUACCUAAAGUUAGCAAAAGGCAUCUGGAAGACCACUGAAGACAUUAAUAGCAUCAACAAAAUUACUCUGAAAAGGCUUGUAACUACCAAGGCAUACCCCCAAGACUGAGAUGUUACUAAUGUGCACAAGACUACAGUUAAGCUGCUAUUCAGUUAUUUCAUUCUUUCUUCCAGCAAGGACAAGAACUACUUUUUAUCUCUUUAGCCAGCCUUAGCAUCACAUCUGAGUGAGAAGCAGCAUAUAUUAUUGAAGUUAUUUUUAAAACUAAGCUGUUCAAAUCCAAAGCAUAACAGUGAGUACCUAGACAGGUUAUAGGAGUAACAGAAACAGAUACUUAGCUUAGUGGAAAAAGCACAGAUUCCUU